RNAcentral lists this ribosomal RNA (253 nucleotides) under uncultured bacterium. RNAcentral describes it as "partial 16S ribosomal RNA". It matches the Rfam family "Bacterial small subunit ribosomal RNA", at positions 524 to 776 of the family's 1533-position model. The record is from RNAcentral.
UACGGAGGGGGCUAGCGUUGUUCGGAAUUACUGGGCGUAAAGCGCACGUAGGCGGCUUUGCAAGUUAGAGGUGAAAGCCCAGGGCUCAACCCUGGAAUUGCCUUUAAAACUGCAUCGCUAGAAUUGUGGAGAGGUAAGUGGAAUUCCGAGUGUAGAGGUGAAAUUCGUAGAUAUUCGCAAGAACACCAGUGGCGAAGGCGGCUCACUGGCCCGGUACUGACGCUGGGGUGCGAAAGCGUGGGGAGCAAACAGG